Molecule: ribosomal RNA, 255 nt
Filed under: uncultured cyanobacterium
Lineage: Bacteria; Bacillati; Cyanobacteriota
Description: partial 16S ribosomal RNA
Rfam family: Bacterial small subunit ribosomal RNA
Source: RNAcentral
AGCGGAGCAAUCCGUGAGUAAAGUGGCGUACGGGUGAGUAACACGUGGAUCAUCUGCCCUAGAGUGGGGAAUAACGAGGGGAAACCUUCGCUAAUACCGCAUAAUCCCGAGAGGGGAAAGCCGAAAGGCGCUCAAGGAGGAGUCCGCGGUCGAUUAGCUAGUUGGUAGGGUAAUGGCCUACCAAGGCUACGAUCGAUAGCCGGCCUGAGAGGGCACACGGCCACGCUGGCACUGAAACACGGGCCAGACUCCUAC